Oncorhynchus keta (chum salmon) is the source of this 1495-nucleotide long non-coding RNA. RefSeq lists it as uncharacterized. The record is from RefSeq and is a predicted model, not a curated record. The transcript is spliced from 10 exons. NCBI's taxonomy places the organism in Eukaryota, Metazoa, Chordata, Actinopteri, Salmoniformes, Salmonidae.
ACCUACAUAAUGUUAUCAGGUAUAUGCUGAAUAUCUUCCCUAGGACCCACAUAAUGUUAUCAGGUAUAUGCUGAAUAUCUUCCCUAGGACCCACAUAAUGUUAUCGGGUAUAUGCUGAAUAUCUUCCCUAGGACCUACAUAAUGUUAUCUGGUAUAUGCUGAAUAUCUUCCCUAGGACCCACAUAAUGUUAUCGGGUAUAUGCUGAAUGUCCCCCUAGGACCUACAUAAUGUUAUCGGGUAUAUGCUGAAUAUCUUCCCUAGGACCCACAUAAUGUUAUCGGGUAUAUGCUGAAUAUCUUCCCUAGGACCCACAUAAUGUUAUCAGGUAUAUGCUGAAUAUCUUCCCUAGGACCCACAUAAUGUUAUCAGGUAUAUGCUGAAUAUCUUCCCUAGGACCCACAUAAUGUUAUCAGGUAUAUGCUGAAUAUCUUCCCUAGGACCCACAUAAUGUUAUCAGGUAUAUGCUGAAUAUCUUCCCUAGGACCUACAUAAUGUUAUCAGGUAUAUGCUGAAUAUCUUCCCUAGGACCCACAUAAUGUUAUCUGGUAUAUGCUGAAUAUCUUCCCUAGGACCCACAUAAUGUUAUCAGGUAUAUGCUGAAUAUCUUCCCUAGGACCCACAUAAUGUUAUCAGGUAUAUGCUGAAUAUCUUCCCUAGGACCUACAUAAUGUUAUCUGGUAUAUGCUGAAUAUCUUCCCUAGGACCCACAUAAUGUUAUCAGGUAUAUGCUGAAUAUCUUCCCUAGGACCCACAUAAUGUUAUCAGGUAUAUGCUGAAUAUCUUCCCUAGGACCUACAUAAUGUUAUCAGGUAUAUGCUGAAUGUUCCCCCUAGGACCCACAUAAUGUUAUCUGGUAUAUGCUGAAUAUCUUCCCUAGGACCCACAUAAUGUUAUCAGGUAUAUGCUGAAUAUCUUCCCUAGGACCUACAUAAUGUUAUCUGGUAUAUGCUGAAUAUCUUCCCUAGGACCCACAUAAUGUUAUCGGGUAUGUGCUGAAUGUCCCCCUCCCCCUAGGACCUACAUAAUGUUAUCAGGUAUAUGCUGAAUAUCUUCCCUAGGACCCACAUAAUGUUAUCUGGUAUAUGCUGAAUAUCUUCCCUAGGACCCACAUAAUGUUAUCAGGUAUAUGCUGAAUAUCUUCCCUAGGACCCACAUAAUGUUAUCAGGUAUAUGCUGAAUAUCUUCCCUAGGACCCACAUAAUGUUAUCAGGUAUAUGCUGAAUGUUCCCCCUAGGACCUACAUAAUGUUAUCAGGUAUAUGCUGAAUGUUCCCCCCCUCUAGGACCCACAUAAUGUUAUCAGGUAUAUGCUGAAUGUUCCCCCUAGGACCCACAUAAUGUUAUCAGGUAUAUGCUGAAUGUUCCCCCUAGGACCUACAUAAUGUUAUCAGGUAUAUGCUGAACAUCUUCCCUAGGACCCACAUAAUGUUAUCAGGUAUAUGCUGAAUAUCUUCCCUAGGACGCUGAGGCUUCAAUCAAAGCCUACUUAUGUUGA